AGAGUUUGAUCAUGGCUCAGAACGAACGCUGGCGGCACGCCUAACACAUGCAAGUCGAGCGGGAACUUCGGUUCUAGCGGCGGACGGGUUAGUAACGCGUGGGAACGUACCUUUUGCUUCGGAAUAGCCUCGGGAAACUGGGAGUAAUACCGGAUGUGCCCUUUGGGGGAAAGAUUUAUCGGCAAGAGAUCGGCCCGCGUCUGAUUAGAUAGUUGGUGGGGUAAUGGCCUACCAAGUCUGCGAUCAGUAGCUGGUUUGAGAGGAUGAUCAGCAACACUGGGACUGAGACACGGCCCAGACUCCUACGGGAGGCAGCAGUGGGGAAUCUUAGACAAUGGGCGCAAGCCUGAUCUAUCGAUGCCGCGUGAGUGACGAAGGCCUUAGGGUCGUAAAGCUCUUUC
Molecule: ribosomal RNA, 401 nt
Filed under: uncultured bacterium
Lineage: Bacteria
Description: bacterial SSU rRNA
Rfam family: Bacterial small subunit ribosomal RNA
Source: RNAcentral